Molecule: long non-coding RNA, 1146 nt
Filed under: Ictidomys tridecemlineatus (thirteen-lined ground squirrel)
Lineage: Eukaryota; Metazoa; Chordata; Mammalia; Rodentia; Sciuridae
Description: lncRNA (ENSSTOG00000030221.1)
Source: RNAcentral
ACCGAGCUUUAAAAAGGAAAGGGGAAUCAUUCUGCUUUUCAAAAAGAGAAACCGUGUUUGGGGAGGAAUCCUAUCUACAUAUUUCUUCUUCAACCUCAUCCUGGGGUCGUGGUUGGAACUUUUCAUCAAUCUUUCCUUUCUUUCUUUCUUUCUUUUUCUUUCUUUCUUCUUCUUUUUUUUUUUUUCUCUCUAAGCCUUUUGCCUAGCUCUGCCUGUCACAACAAAGUCAGCCACAGGCCUCCAGAGAGUAGCCUCUGUGAAAUUUGUCAUAAGGGUGUCAGGUAUUUCUUCCUGGCUUCCAAAGAAAACUCAGAUAAAGAAAUCUUUCCUGGAUCCUUCUGAGGCUGCACUCGGAAGCUCUCUUGAGGUGAAGAAGAAGCUGGAGAGCAGUAGCAAGAAAAACUGGCCAAAGAGUAAAAGAUGCCCCGGGGCAGAAGGCUGACCGGGGUGGAGUUGGGGGUCAGACAGACUCACUUUGCCUGGGCUGUGCUGGAACAAAGUCAAGUUCUUGGCGAUUGAGAGUUUAAGCCCAUCGUGAUUAUGCUGCUCUUACUUAUCCUUCUAUUGCCAGUAGUUUUAAAAUUUAGUUUUGUUAGCAUCUCAGCACAACAGUCCUGGAGCUGUUCGGAAGGCCCUCCCCUGGGAAAUGGGAAUUCCACUUGUGUCGGUCCUGCACCCUACUUAAUUUUCUCCCAUGGAAACAGUAUCUUUAGAAUUGACCCAGAAGGCACAAACCAUGAGCGACUGGUGGUAGAUGCUGGUAUUUCGGUGAUCAUGGAUUUUCAUUACAAGAAGGAAAGAAUCUAUUGGGUGGAUUUAGAAAGACAACUUUUGCAAAGAGUUUUCCUGAAUGGGUCAAGACAAGAGGUUUAUAUUUUGGUCUUCAGAAGUGGACAGCAGUCUUCACAGAGCAGAUCUCAGUGGGGUGAAAGUGAAGACUCUAUUAGAGACACCAGAAAGAAUAACAGCUAUGUCCCUGGAUGUGCUCGAUAAACGCCUCUUUUGGAUUCAGGACAAUAGAGAAGGAAGCAAUUCUCAUAUUUAUUCCUGUGAUUAUGAUGGAAGGUCUGUCCAUCUGAUCAAACCUCCAACACGGUAGGUUUUUCCUUAUGGUUUAAAAUAAAACUAUUGUUAGCUGAAGUUUGU